AGUGAAGCGGCAACAGCUCAAAUUUGAAAUCUGGCUCUUUCAGGGUCCGAGUUGUAAUUUGUAGAAGAUGCUUUGGGUGUAGCUCCGGUCUAAGUUCCUUGGAACAGGACGUCAUAGAGGGUGAGAAUCCCGUACGUGACUGGGUGCCUUCGCUCGUGUAAAGCUCUUUCGACGAGUCGAGUUGUUUGGGAAUGCAGCUCAAAAUGGGUGGUAAAUUUCAUCUAAAGCUAAAUAUUGGCCAGAGACCGAUAGCGCACAAGUAGAGUGAUCGAAAGAUGAAAAGCACUUUGGAAAGAGAGUUAAACAGUACGUGAAAUUGUUGAAAGGGAAGCGCUUGCAACCAGACUUGCACGCUGUUGAUCAUCCGAGGUUUUCCCCGGUGCACUCGGCAGUGUUCAGGCCAGCAUCGGUUUUGGUGGGCGGAUAAAGGCCUUGGGAAUGUAGCUUCUUUCGGGAAGUGUUAUAGCCCUCGGUGCAAUGCGCCCUACCGGGACCGAGGACCGCGCUUCGGCUAGGAUGCUGGCGUAAUGGUUGUAAGCGACCCGUCUUGAAACACGGACCAAGGAGUCUAACAUCUAUGCGAGUGUUUGGGUGUUAAACCCAUACGCGUAAUGAAAGUGAACGGAGGUGAGAACCCUUAAGGGUGCAUCAUCGACCGAUCCUGAUGUCUUCGGAUGGAUUUGAGUAAGAGCAUAGCUGUUGGGACCCGAAAGAUGGUGAACUAUGCCUGAAUAGGGUGAAGCCAGAGGAAACUCUGGUGGAGGCUCGCAGCGGUUCUGACGUGCAAAUCGAUCGUCAAAUUUGGGUAUAGGGGCGAAAGACUAAUCGAACCAUCUAGUAGCUGGUCUG
RNAcentral lists this ribosomal RNA (849 nucleotides) under Hyaloscypha monodictys. RNAcentral describes it as "eukaryotic LSU rRNA". It matches the Rfam family "Eukaryotic large subunit ribosomal RNA", at positions 92 to 958 of the family's 3401-position model. The record is from RNAcentral. Lineage: Eukaryota; Fungi; Ascomycota; Leotiomycetes; Helotiales; Hyaloscyphaceae.